RNAcentral lists this ribosomal RNA (408 nucleotides) under Triticum aestivum (bread wheat). RNAcentral's name for it is "partial small subunit ribosomal RNA". Lineage: Eukaryota; Viridiplantae; Streptophyta; Magnoliopsida; Poales; Poaceae. The record is from RNAcentral.
AUGGAACUUAGAUCCUCUGGAAGCAUUGUUGAGGUCGAUACUAAACUAACGGAUGGUAAAGUUUACUUUCACAUAUUCUUUAUGGCAAUUAAGCCUUGUUUAGAUGGAUUCCAUGCUGGAUGUAGGCCUUAUCUUAGCAUAGACUCGACUGCAUUGAAUGGAAAGUGGAAUGGUCAUUUAGCUGCAUGCACUGCUUUAGAUGGACAUAAUUGGAUGUUUCCUCUUGCAUUUGGUUUUAUUGAGGUUGAAGAUGAAGAUAAUUGGAAAUGGUUCAUGACACAGUUGCAUAGAGCAUUAGGACCAAUUUCAAAGCUUGCUAUAUGUACUGAUGCAUGUAAAGGCGCCAAGAAAAUGCAGUUAAGAAAGUUUUUCCUCAAGCAAAACAAAGGGAAUGUUUUAGGCAUUUAA